Molecule: ribosomal RNA, 253 nt
Filed under: uncultured bacterium
Lineage: Bacteria
Description: partial 16S ribosomal RNA
Rfam family: Bacterial small subunit ribosomal RNA
Source: RNAcentral
UACGGGGGGGGCAAGCGUUGUUCGGAAUUACUGGGCGUAAAGGGCUCGUAGGCGGCCAACUAAGUCGGACGUGAAAUCCCCAGGCUCAACCUGGGAACUGCGUCUGAUACUGGCGGGCUUGAAUUCGGGAGAGGGAUGUGGAAUUCCAGGUGUAGCGGUGAAAUGCGUAGAUAUCUGGAGGAACACCGGUGGCGAAGGCGGCAUCCUGGACCGACAUUGACGCUGAGGCGCGAAAGCCAGGGGAGCAAACGGG